GAGGGUAUAGCUCAAAUGGCAGAGCGGCUGCUUAGCAUGCACGAGGACCUGGGUUCAAUCCCUGGUACCUCCA
Molecule: transfer RNA, 73 nt
Filed under: Camelus bactrianus (Bactrian camel)
Lineage: Eukaryota; Metazoa; Chordata; Mammalia; Artiodactyla; Camelidae
Also listed under: 2 other names
Rfam family: tRNA
About the family: Transfer RNA (tRNA) molecules are approximately 80 nucleotides in length.
Source: Rfam by way of RNAcentral